RNAcentral lists this ribosomal RNA (426 nucleotides) under uncultured bacterium. RNAcentral describes it as "bacterial SSU rRNA". It matches the Rfam family "Bacterial small subunit ribosomal RNA", at positions 29 to 486 of the family's 1533-position model. The record is from RNAcentral.
AACGAACGCUGGCGGCAUGCCUAACACAUGCAAGUCGAACGGGAUCCUAGCUUGCUAGGUGAGAGUGGCGGACGGGUGAGUAACACGUGGGAAUCUGCCUUUUGGUUCGGGAUAACCGCGGGAAACUGCGGCUAAUACCGAAUGCCCUCGAGAGAGGAAAGAUUUAUCGCCAGAAGAGGAGCCCGCGUCCGAUUAGGUAGUUGGUGGGGUAAAGGCCUACCAAGCCGACGAUCGGUAGCUGGUCUGAGAGGAUGAUCAGCCACACUGGGACUGAGAUACGGCCCAGACUCCUACGGGAGGCAGCAGUGGGGAAUAUUGGACAAUGGGGCGAACCCUCGAUCCAGCAAUGCCGCGUGAGUGAUGAAGGCCUUAGGGUUGGUUAAAGACUCUUUUGUCCAGGGAAGGAUGAUGACUGUACCUGGAGAA